RNAcentral lists this ribosomal RNA (253 nucleotides) under uncultured bacterium. RNAcentral's name for it is "partial 16S ribosomal RNA". It matches the Rfam family "Bacterial small subunit ribosomal RNA", at positions 524 to 776 of the family's 1533-position model. The record is from RNAcentral.
UACGUAGGGUGCAAGCGUUGUCCGGAAUUAUUGGGCGUAAAGAGCUCGUAGGCGGUUAGUCGCGUCUGCUGUGAAAACUCGGGGCUUAACCCCGGGCCUGCAGUGGGUACGGGCAGACUAGAGUGCGGUAGGGGAGACUGGAAUUCCUGGUGUAGCGGUGAAAUGCGUAGAUAUCGGAAGGAACAUCAGUGGCGAAAGCGACUUCCUGGACCAAUACUGACGCUCAUGUGCGAAAGCGUGGGGAGCAAACAGG